UCAUGGUAAAAAGAUUGUUUUUGCACCAUUGAUUCCUAGUGAAGUGAUUGAAGAUCAAAUAAAAAUGAGAGAAAAAAUGAAAAAGAAAGAAAAUAAAAAUAAAAAAGAAAGAAAAGAAAAAGAAAAAAGAAAGAAAAGAAAAAGAAAAAGAAAAGGAAAGGAAAUAGAAAGUGAAAAGAUGGAUAAAAACUAAUGAAAAAGAAGAAAAGAAAGAGAGUUUUAUGGCAAAAAAAGAUAGGGGUAAAAAAUGUCAU
This 254-nucleotide long non-coding RNA is filed under the name Lathyrus oleraceus (garden pea). Its description in RNAcentral is "Pisum sativum (pea) long non-coding RNA (PSAT_LNC023647)". Lineage: Eukaryota; Viridiplantae; Streptophyta; Magnoliopsida; Fabales; Fabaceae. The record is from RNAcentral.